This 71-nucleotide transfer RNA is filed under the name archaeon. Its description in RNAcentral is "tRNA-Gln". It matches the Rfam family "tRNA". From Rfam's summary of the family: Transfer RNA (tRNA) molecules are approximately 80 nucleotides in length. The record is from RNAcentral.
UGGGGGAUCGUCUAAUGGUAGGACUGCGGCUUUUGGUGCCGUCUAUCUGGGUUCGAAUCCCGGUCCCCCAG